GAUGAAGAACGUAGCGAAAUGCGAUAAGUAAUGUGAAUUGCAGAAUUCAGUGAACCAUCGAAUCUUUGAACGCACAUUGCGCCCGGCAGUAAUCUGCCGGGCAUGCCUGUCCGAGCGUCAUUUCUCCCCUCGAGCGCAGCUUUCCCCCCCGGGGGAGGGCCGCGCCCGGUGUUGGGGCGCUACGGAGGAGCCCAGCGCUCCCCCGUAGGCCCCGAAAUGUAGUGGCGGUCCCGCCGCGGCGCCCCCUGCGUAGUAGUUUCACAACUCGCAUCGGGUCCCGGCGGAGGCCAGCCGUCAAACCCCCCAACUUCAAUAGUUUGACCUCGGAUCAGGUAGGGUUACCCGCUGAACUUAAGCAUAUCAAUAAGCGGAGGA
RNAcentral lists this unclassified non-coding RNA (375 nucleotides) under soil metagenome. RNAcentral describes it as "partial contains 5.8S ribosomal RNA, internal transcribed spacer 2, and large subunit ribosomal RNA". The stretch from base 1 to 120 matches the Rfam family "5.8S ribosomal RNA", at positions 35 to 154 of the family's 154-position model. The record is from RNAcentral.